Molecule: ribosomal RNA, 285 nt
Filed under: uncultured bacterium
Lineage: Bacteria
Description: partial 16S ribosomal RNA
Rfam family: Bacterial small subunit ribosomal RNA
Source: RNAcentral
GCCUACGGGAGGCAGCAGUGGGGGAUAUUGCACAAUGGGGGAAACCCUGAUGCAGCGACGCCGCGUGGGCGAAGAAGUAUUUCGGUAUGUAAAGCCCUAUCAGCAGGGAAGAAGAGAUGACGGUACCUGAGUAAGAAGCACCGGCUAAAUACGUGCCAGCAGCCGCGGUAAUACGUAUGGUGCAAGCGUUAUUCGGAUUUACUGGGUGUAAAGGGAGCGCAGGCGGCACGGCAAGGCUGAUGGGAAAGCCCGCGGCCCAACCGCGGGACUGGAUUGGGAAAUACC